Molecule: non-coding RNA, 201 nt
Organism: Vicia faba (fava bean)
Lineage: Eukaryota; Viridiplantae; Streptophyta; Magnoliopsida; Fabales; Fabaceae
Source: the annotation of a GenBank genome assembly
AUGACGGGAGAAUUGAGGGAAUCGGUUCAGAUGGAGAGAGUCUUAAAAAUGGUGGUUAUGUUGGAGAUGGCGAGAGGCCGUGGAAAUGAAGUAAAGGGCUACAGGAGCUUGAGGAUGGCUCAAAAUUGGAGUCAAGGAAGUUUGAGAAGACGACAUGAGGCGCUAGCCAAAGCCAAUCAGUCUGCAUUCUGUGCUAAAUGA